GAUCUCUGCAUCGGCCAUUCAAGGUCGAGCUAGCUAGCAAUGGCGCGGUUCAACGGAGCCACUGUUUUCCUCAUCAUCAUCGCCACCGUGUCCGUCUACAGCUGCGCCAUCAUCGCCGGCGCCGCACUCGGCCGAACACUGGACAGCUCCGCGACGACUAAGCAGACGCCGUCGGACAGGACCCUCCGCGUCAGCGUCAGCUUCAGAGGCCUCGCCAAGGACUUCGCAAAGGAGCUCUGGGGUGGUAAUCACAGGGAAGGACGGUCAGGCAGAGCUCUCGCCGGUGCGGGUGACGCAACUGCGGUACUGUCAUCACCCCCCGCGAGCGUCUCGCUCUCACCACGAGCCAACAGGGCGGCCGCGGCGGAUCGCGAGUCAGCGCUGCAGCCCAUGCCAGUUGCCAACUACACGCAAGUGAACAGCAGGGUCAGGGAUGACGUCCACACAAGAGCAGCAGCGAGACCGUGGUCGAGGCACAGCAACUUCUCCGACGAGAUCACUGACGAGAAAAGGCCGGGAGGAAGAGGAGUGAUCAAGGUCGGGCCGUGGGGAGGAUCCGGCGGGGCACCUUUCUACAUGCGCGGCGGCCGCGGCGUGAGCGCCCCUCGCGUGCGCAGUGUCACCCUGCAGUACACCGACAACGCCAUCCAUUCCUUCUACCAAAGCUCAGACGAGCCCGUGGUGAAGCUGACGCUGGAACGAGCAGAAGGCGGUGGCCAAAGUAGAGCUCGUUUAACGAUUGAUGAGUUCGUGAUGUACGAAAAGAGAAUGCCUUAGAAAGACCGGUCAUACGAAAGAGCACUUAUUACUAUUGAAAUAUUAUGGUGACGAUGUUUAGCAGUCAUAAAAGGGAGAGAAAACGAAGGUUAAAAAUACUUCAAAGGAAUAGGACUGGAGGCUACCAUAGAACCUACAGGGUCUAGGAACACAGGAAUAAGAGAAAGUAGACUGUUCGGAUCACAGCAGCCUUAAGGGUUUUUAAAUUGGCCACAAGGCAGCUUUGUCUCUAUCUCUCACCCCAUCACGUCACACAUCAGCUCAUUUUAAUUAGCUCUGCAUGCUGACUGCCACGAUCAGAGCACCUCGUCUCGGUCUUCCGCGAAAAACAUGAGCUCCGGGCAGAUUUUUCAAUUCCUGUGGAAUCGGCAUCGAAAGGACAGGUUUCCUUUGGAUCACUGUAGGUCAUUCCUGCGUUUCGAACACCACAAAGGAAAAUAAACCUUCAUGAACAGUAUUCCUUCAUGAUUCCUGCAAAAAUCCUAUGAACCGAACGGAGCCUGAAUAUGGUCCAGUUAGUGGCGUAUUAUUCCUUGCAUUCAACACGUGUGUAUAACACCUCGACGAUGUGUUAUUCUAUAUUGAAGUUUUAAUGAACCUGAACUCUUCUGAUUA
Triticum dicoccoides is the source of this 1392-nucleotide RNA transcript. It is a transcript of the gene named jacalin-related lectin 3-like, with no coding region annotated. Lineage: Eukaryota; Viridiplantae; Streptophyta; Magnoliopsida; Poales; Poaceae. The transcript is spliced from 4 exons. The record is from RefSeq and is a predicted model, not a curated record.